Molecule: long non-coding RNA, 4007 nt
Filed under: Fragaria vesca (wild strawberry)
Lineage: Eukaryota; Viridiplantae; Streptophyta; Magnoliopsida; Rosales; Rosaceae
Description: long non-coding RNA (FVES_LNC005573)
Source: RNAcentral
UUAGAAAGUCUACUUUUCUGAUGAAAACAGUAGAUGUGUCUUAUGUUAAAUGUGUCUUUCGACUUGCAACAUUUUUUGUGAUAUUUUUCAUGACAAGAGUAGCUAUUUCUUAUGAUAGUUGUAGACAGUCUCAAGAAUCAUUUUGAUUUCCAGAAAGUCUACUUUUGUGUGAUUUAGCUCAUCUGAAUGACAGAUUUUUCUAAUGAAAACUGUACAUAUAGAGGGACUUAACGGAGAGUGAACGAUAUUAGUUUGCUUUAACUUGCUAUAGCACGUCAAAACUGGUUGGGUAUGCAUACCCUAAGGCAUACCCUAAGGCACACAAGUGGAACCCCACUUUGUUCCCUCCAAUUUCACAACUUACUACACAUCAAUAUUUCAGUAGUAAUAAACCAAAAUCAAAAGUGAACCACAAUCACCCAUCACUGCUAUUGUAAACACUAAACACAAUAACAGCAGCUGCAGUUUUACUCCUUUCGACUAAAACAAUAACUUCUGAUACUGAACAUUUGUUCCAUCAUAUUAACAGAACAUCUAGAGCACCCUACACAUGUUCAUAUACUUAACAACACCAGAAGCCACCACAAUAAUCAUCACCGCCGCCUAACAUAGUAGCUGCACACACUGCCCAAAUCCCAAAAUUUGAAACUCCACCAAACUUAAAUUCUAGUGUUUGCAAUCAGACAUACCAAUUCAAUAUACUUGGAAACCCGGAAAGCACUCCCAAAACCACCGUCGCCGCUGAGAAGAGCGUCACUCACGGUGGUCCACUACACUGCCAAAACCCAACUUCUCCAACACCCAACCAAUCUCAAUUCCAGUUAUAUAAACAGGAACGCUCGAUGAGUAGAUGAAGAUUGAUACCUGAAUCAAAACUAGAAGCUCGCCGGAAAAUGAAGAACACGGCCGGAAAACCCUAAAAGCUUCUCCUCUUCGAUUCUCCCUCCUCAGAGCUCGUCUGGGAAAACCAAGAACAUGGAAAGGUUCUUGAGAUCGAGAUGAAGCUAUCCAUACCAGUAAGAGACCUCGACUUGGUCAGAAUCGAAAACUCGCCGGCGAACCCAGAAUUCCUUCUCUCCUUCUUUUCUCUCUCGCCGGAACUCCUCUUCGAACACAAAGAACAUAGUGAGGUCGAGGACGUCGAGACAGACCUGUGGACACCGGUUUUGCGCCGGUAGACGACUGAAAGACAAAAGGGAGCGCUGAGCUCCGUCGCAGCUCGAGACGGGGUCGGUCGGUCUUGGUUGUGUUUUUGGGCUUCGAUCUGAUAAGGUCCUAGCCUUAUAUACUCAUUCAAUAGUUCAGAUCAAAUAGUUUAGAGAUCAACGGCCAAGACCAAACCGACUUAAAAAUACUAUUUUUAAUAAAUUUCUGGAUAAUACCAACUUCCAAAAAACAUUAAAAAUAGCUCUGAUGUCCAAACGAUGCUCCGAAGAAUCCUACGAACUCGUAACGACCUCUACUUUAAUCUUAUGGGCUUGAAAGACAAAAUUUGACAAACUAAAAAUUUGAAUAAUUUUCAAAAGCCACAAAAAAAUUUAAAGAAUAAUAGGAAUUGAAAUAAAAAUAGCUCGAAAAUAAUUUCUCAUUUAAAGAUAAAAAAUCUAAUUUUCGAGAUAUUACAUGUUACAAUGCAGAAUGUAAACAAAAGUAGUAUCUUCUAGGGAGAACAUGGAACUAAAACCAUUGCAUAUAUAGUUGCAGCUACCAAGAUCAUUAGAGAUAGUUAUUUAUGUUUAAGGAUUCUCUUUAAUUCACGAAAAAAGGUUUGAAAUACGUUAAAAUGUCAGAGUCCUACAUAGACUCUUUGACAUUUCGAUGCGUCUUACAUGAAAUGGGUUGAAAAAUUUAAAAUACUUGUGUUUGUUUUUUCGAUAAAGAAAUUAAAAAUAUUGUCGAGCCAAAUUAUGACAUCAUGUCAAGACCCACCCCGAAUUUCACCCUGAAACCCGAAGUAAGUCUUACGGGGACCACCUCCAAGGAAAAUUUACCGAAAAAUUCGGCAUAACCUCCCUUGAAAAUGGACAACCUUUACCUGAAAAAUUCAAACCACACUCCUAUACCGACACAUCCAACCUCAACUCCUGGAGCCACCCGCUUCCCACAACACCACAACAAUAUAACAAAAACCAUCUUCUAAUCCAUCACAUAAAUACCAAAUGAAAUAACAAACUUCAACCUUCGAAUAUUCGAAAAUAAAAUCCAAGACUUAGCACACAACUGAGCUAAUAUACAUUAUCCUCAAGGGUAAUCAGAGCUACUAAUACUAGCGGAAACAAGAAAAUACACUAGUAGGUUAAGCCGGUAACCUACUGGUGAAAAGUGGUGAAAAAGUGGGUAACUACGCCUCGCCUCCUACUAGUGCCAACCCGAACUCUACAGACUGGACAUUUUAAAACGAAGGGCCCUGGGGAAAACAUUUAAUAACGUUAAAGUGAGUGGACAAAAAUAAAUUUGAAUAAAAGAAUAAAUAAAAUAUUUAUGCUUUCCCGAUUCAAUUUCCAAGGAAAAAUCGAAUGCAUGCCUCCAAUGAUAAAACUUUCAUCUCUUAAAUAUCGAGCUUCUCAAGCUCUAAAAUAUAUAUGUAUGUAUUUACACACGUCCAUACUCCCUAUAUAAUUUUAUAGAAUUAUAUAGGGCUACUACACUCGCGUCCAACGCUCAUGUCACGCCUUAAUGCGGUGAUACACUACGUCAUUAACGUGGACAGACGGGUGUAUAAAUAUGUGUCCAUACCCCCUAUAAGAAUUAAACACUCACAUAGGGAUACUACACUCACGUCCAACGUUCAUGUCACACCAUAAUGCGGUUAUAUGCUACGCCAUUAAGGUGGACAGACACAUAUGGCUAGCUAGCAUUUAUAUACAUACUCUCCUCAUAAAUACAUAUUUAUAUUCACCGAAAAUCUCAUUUUCGGUAACUCUCCAAGAGAAAUAAAAUCGUCAAAAUUAAAAUGAAGUCAAAUGCUCCAACAAAAGAAAUUGUUCAACCAAGAACCAUAGCAUGCACAUUAUUUAAAAUAAAAGUCUACUCACAAAUUAGGCCUAAGCCUGAUGUCGAUCUGGGGCCUCGUCUGCUCGAGCCUCCUCACGUCCUGUUCCAGUUAUAUAAUCAAUUUCCCAAUUAAAAAUUCAAUAAUUAUACAAAAUGGGCAAAAUUAAAUGUGAGCCUCCAACACACUCAUCAUUGCCCAACUUCGCCAUUCUUCCCUCAAUAUGGCCCAAACUUCACCGAACAUACCGGCAGCCUUAAUAUAACCCUCUAUAGAUUAUACGACUUUAAACCAACGGCCGGAUUCUACCUUAAAUAACCGCUAAAAUUACCAAACUCUAAAAAUUCCCAAACCUAUCAAAACUCCUCCAAAAAUUCCACAAAUCACUUCAUUAAACUCCUCUAAUUAUAACACGAAUAAAACCCUAAAAAUCCCCCAAACAACAGCGGCCGGAGGCCAACUCACGCGACCUCCUAUGUUACACCCCAAUUUUCGAAGGAUAAAUUUUUAAAAAUUUGGGCAUGAUAACUCACAAUAAUAUAAUUCCUAAGACCUGUUCAACAACUUAAAGAAGACAAAUCUCAAUUGCAGAAAUGUAAUCUCAACACAACUCAACAUCGAGUUAAUAUUACAUUUCAUUACUUACAUAAACUUGAAAGUCAAGAAAUGAAAACACUCGAAUGAAAUUAAUGUUGUCUACCAAAUAUAAAAUAUCAAAGUAUACAACAACUAAAAACCCUGCUGAUCAAUACCUGCAGGUCUAACCCAUACACCAUGAAUUGGUGCACCGGGUUGUAAACAACAAACUUGGUAAGCUAAAAAGCCCGUAUGAGUAACUCUCAAAAAUAACUCAACCCAACUUUACUUAAAAUAAAAACGAAAAUUCCUGCUUAGAACUUAGUUCAGGAAUCGCCUCAAACAAGAAAAUUCAAAAGGGAGUAAAUAAGAAAACACAACAAUUUCCAAACAAUCAAAAUCAUAAGUGAAUCCUGCAAAAAGGAUAGUUCAGGAAUUC